UUCAUCUGUUGAUGGGCAUCUAGGCUAGUUCUGUUUUCUUGCUUUCAUACUUAGAUCAGCAAUAAGACAGAUAUAUGAACAUCUCUAUGGCAGCAUAUAGA
RNAcentral lists this microRNA precursor (101 nucleotides) under Mesocricetus auratus (golden hamster). Its description in RNAcentral is "miRNA (ENSMAUG00000003903.1)". Lineage: Eukaryota; Metazoa; Chordata; Mammalia; Rodentia; Cricetidae. The record is from RNAcentral.